AACGAACGCUGGCGGCAGGCUUAACACACGCAAGUCGAGCGCCCCGCAAGGGGAGCGGCAGACGGGUGAGUAACGCGUGGGAAUCUACCCACCACUACGGAACAACUCCGGGAAACUGGAGCUAAUACCGUAUACGUCCUUCGGGAGAAAGAUUUAUCGGUGAUGGAUGAGCCCGCGUUGGAUUAGCUAGUUGGUGGGGUAAUGGCCCACCAAGGCGACGAUCCAUAGCUGGUCUGAGAGGAUGAUCAGCCACACUGGGACUGAGACACGGCCCAGACUCCUACGGGAGGCAGCAGUGGGGAAUAUUGGACAAUGGGCGCAAGCCUGAUCCAGCCAUGCCGCGUGAGUGAUGAAGGCCCUAGGGUUGUAAAGCUCUUUCACCGGUGAAGAUAAUGACGGUAACCGGAGAAGAAGCCCCGGCUAACUUCGUGCCAGCAGCCGCCGUAA
Molecule: ribosomal RNA, 447 nt
Filed under: uncultured bacterium
Lineage: Bacteria
Description: partial 16S ribosomal RNA
Rfam family: Bacterial small subunit ribosomal RNA
Source: RNAcentral